AACGCAUCUUGCGCUCCUUGGUAUUCCGAGGAGCAUGCCUGUUUGAGUGUCAUUUUGAACUCUCAAAGCCCACGUUUUGACGUGGGCUUUGGACUUGAGGGCUUUUGCAGGCUUUUGAUCAGAAAGCCUGCUCCCUUGAAAAUCAUCAGUGGUAUCUGGAGCGGAAACCGCUAGGUGUUGAUAACAUUCAUCUAUGCCUUUGGGUAUGCCGCGUAACAUGUGCUGCUUCCAACCGCCCCAUGCUCUUUGACAAACUUGACCUCAAAUCAGGUAGGACUACCCGCUGAACUUAA
RNAcentral lists this unclassified non-coding RNA (293 nucleotides) under uncultured Inocybe. Its description in RNAcentral is "partial contains 5.8S ribosomal RNA, internal transcribed spacer 2, and large subunit ribosomal RNA". The stretch from base 1 to 52 matches the Rfam family "5.8S ribosomal RNA", at positions 103 to 154 of the family's 154-position model. Lineage: Eukaryota; Fungi; Basidiomycota; Agaricomycetes; Agaricales; Cortinariaceae. The record is from RNAcentral.